This is a long non-coding RNA of Zingiber officinale, 728 nucleotides long. RefSeq lists it as uncharacterized. The record is from RefSeq and is a predicted model, not a curated record. NCBI's taxonomy places the organism in Eukaryota, Viridiplantae, Streptophyta, Magnoliopsida, Zingiberales, Zingiberaceae. The transcript has 3 exons.
UGCCCGAGCCAUCCCCGAAUGCCCGAUCCUUGCCCUAACCGGCGGCGGUUUCCUUCUCCCUCGUGUACAAAACCUUGGGCGAGGGAUGCACAUCUCCUUUCCCUUCACUCUUCUUCAAUGCCGAUCCUCUUCUUCCCCUUCCUCUCUGAUUGACGUCGGCCACACCUUCUCCACCCGAUGGCGCCGCACACCCGAUGGCGCCGCACACCCGACGCCACUGCCGCCUCCCUUCCUCCACUCGACACUGAUCGUUGACCUGUCUAUGUGCUAGUGCCCUAGCCUUCGUCCACCGUCGAUCGCCUCACAGUCGUCCUCGACAGAUCGCCGCCCCUUCUUCCUAAUCAGAGUGUAGCCUCGGUAUGGGCUGGACUUCGACCAAGAGAAAGGAUUCAAGCCCUAGCCUUGAUUAAUCGUUGUUUCUUCCUCCUUUUCUUGCCGUCACCGCCAGUGUAGCCCUAGCCCGGCCGACCUGCGAUUUUUCCCCCUUCUCCUCCUCACUUCUGUCGACGAUUUUGGAGUCACGGUUGGGGUUGUGAGGGAGAGGAAGGCUCUGCCGUGAAGUAUUCCGACAGCAACAUUUGGGGUUUUCGGCUUGAAUCCUGGCCAACAACACUGGUUCGUGGAUUCUGUCACUAUUGGUUUCCACAACAACAACUCCUAGUUCCAGUCACUAUAGCCCCAAGGCACGUGUCUUCGGUAGUGACUCAACAGCCGGGUAUACGGAUUUG